ACCUCAGAGCCACGGGGCUCUGCUUCUCGCUGCCUGCCGGUGUGGCUGGGGCUCCUCACGAGGAGGUGAAUGCCUGUGCUGGGGGCUUUGUUCCAGAGGGAGUCCUGGAACCGAUCCAUACGGCCCAGCUCCAUUCCCUGAGGCCUCUGCGCUCGGCCACGAAGGAAUCUCACGACGCCCUGGGAGUGAAGUCAGCAAGCAGCACCAUGCUCUCUCGCUUCUCCUCUGCACUCAGAACUUAAUUUUCUCCUUUCUUGAUUAAGUUUUGUUCUUCAUCUAGGGAACGGGAAGGCUCGUGGGCCUCUCUUCCAAAUCCCCUGCCUGUUUCCACCCUCCCUCCACCCUUUAGGAGGUGGACAGAGCUCCCACACAGGGCCUGUGCCUGUUUUUUUGCUCUGCCACAAGCAUGCAGAGCAGGGAUCAGUCCUGACUCCCAUGGCUUCGUUCUGUUGGUUCUCUCCUCUUCCCUCUCCUGCUGCAGUGACUCCCCACGAGGAGCCAGUGCCCUUGGCUGCUGCACGACUAAUCCGUUUGUCAGAUUAUCCUAGAAGCUGGAAUUAAUUUCUACAGCGGGGCACUCGCUGCUUCCCCUGGCACCAGGUUUCUCUCCUGCGGGUAGAAACUGGAUCCCCUCCCCUUUCUGCUCCCUCUGUGUGGCUGGGCUGUCCUUGCGAGGGAGAGGCUGCUCCCGGAGCUCCUCACCCUGGGCUCUGGGAUGCAGCCCACGGUGGUGUUAUGAAUUUAUUUUUUUAAAGGACCACACGGGAAGGUUUUUGUCAACUAGGAAAAACACAGACAUUUCGGUAUCAAUAAACAGU
This 818-nucleotide long non-coding RNA is filed under the name Gallus gallus (chicken). RNAcentral's name for it is "long non-coding RNA NONGGAT002059". Lineage: Eukaryota; Metazoa; Chordata; Aves; Galliformes; Phasianidae. The record is from RNAcentral.